CAGUUCGGAUCGGAGUCUGCAACCCGACUCCGUGAAGCUGGAUUCGCUAGUAAUCGCGCAUCAGCCACGGCGCGGUGAAUACGUUCCCAGGCCUUGUACACACCGCCCGUCAAGCCAUGGAAGCCGGGAGUGCCUGAAGUACGCGACCGCAAGGAGCGUCCUAAGGUAAAACCGGUGACUGGGGCUAAGUCGUAACAAGGUACC
This 204-nucleotide ribosomal RNA is filed under the name uncultured bacterium. Its description in RNAcentral is "partial 16S ribosomal RNA". It matches the Rfam family "Bacterial small subunit ribosomal RNA", at positions 1289 to 1500 of the family's 1533-position model. The record is from RNAcentral.